GACGAACGCUGGCGGCGUGCCUAAUACAUGCAAGUCGAACGCUUUUUCUUUCACCGGAGCUUGCUCCACCGAAAGAAAAAGAGUGGCGAACAGGUGAGUAACACGUGGGUAACCUGCCCAUCAGAAGGGGAUAACACUUGGAAACAGGUGCUAAUACCGUAUAACACUAUUCUCCGCAUGGAAGAAAGUUGAAAGGCGCUUUUGCGUCACUGAUGGAUGGACCCGCGGUGCAUUAGCUAGUUGGUGAGGUAACGGCUCACCAAGGCAACGAUGCAUAGCCGACCUGAGAGGGUGAUCGGCCACACUGGGACUGAGACACGGCCCAGACUCCUACGGGAGGCAGCAGUAGGGAAUCUUCGGCAAUGGACGAAAGUCUGACCGAGCAACGCCGCGUGAGUGAAGAAGGUUUUCGGAUCGUAAAACUCUGUUGUUAGAGAAGAACAAGGAUGAGAGUAAAACGUUCAUCCCUUGACGGUAUCUGACCAGAAAGCCACGGCUAACUACGUGCCAGCCGCCGCGGUAA
RNAcentral lists this ribosomal RNA (523 nucleotides) under uncultured bacterium. RNAcentral describes it as "partial 16S ribosomal RNA". It matches the Rfam family "Bacterial small subunit ribosomal RNA", at positions 28 to 523 of the family's 1533-position model. The record is from RNAcentral.